ACUGCGCCACCAGGGAAGCCCUGAUGGGUUAAAUUUGAUGAGCUUAAUAAAACUGACAAAUUGAACUUGGGGAGUGAAAACAAUAACAUUUUAUUAAUUUUGCCUUUUGAGCCCAAACCUGCUAACGCAGAGGAAAGCUUCUAAUAUGGACAGAAUUAUUCAUCAUUAAUCCCAAGAAGACAACACACAGAAUAUAGUCUUUAUCAUAACCUUCCACUUCCUCCUCUUACAGGCUGGUGAUACAGAUGGAUAAACACAUCUUUUUCGUGUGUUUAUUGAUCAGGCAGGAGGGGACAGUGGCAUCUGCGCCUGGGAGGGACCAGACCCCCUGUCGCUUAGUAUAGGAAAGGACACGUUUUCUCUCCAUUCACCUGUGAGAGCCUGGACGUGAAAGGGACAGUAGCAUUUGGUGGUUCAAGCUGUGGCUGUGUUACCGGAAGGGGAACCCGUCCCAGGGCCCAAGGGUGGGGUCUUUAAUACCCAGAAAUGAAUUGUCCAAGGAGACACAUGUACUGAUGAAGCAGAAGACUUUACUUUAGUGGGAAGGGGCACCCAGGUGGAGAGCAGCAGGGUAAGGGAACCCAGGAGACCUGCUCUGCCACAUGCUUGUAGUCUCAGGGUUUAUGGUAAUGGGUUUAGCUCCCCAGGUCCUCUAUGGCCAGUCAUUUUGCUUGUGCCUGUAUUUGGUCCAAUUCCUGGCAGUGCAGGCAUCUCAGUCAAGAUGGUUUCCAGUGUGAGGGUUUCUGAGAGGUUGGCAGGACAUGUUGUACGCUGGCGUCUCCUGCCUUCUUUUGGGCUCUCCCUAAUUCUUCUGGCUGUUGGUAGCUUGUUUGUCAGUCUGUGUUCCUUAUCAGGACCUCCUGUUGUAAGAUAAAUCAUGCAAGCGGUCAUUAUCCUCCCUGGGCAGGGCGGGCGGUUUCAGUCAGUGGUUCCCUAACAGCUGUGGGGAUCUUAAGUCACUGGUUUUUAUUAUGGUUGAGAUAAAACAUAAGGUUUACUUUUAGUGAGGCAAGGGUCUGGGGGCUUCAGGUGUGAAGCGUUAGAAGCACCACGUAGUGAAUGAAUGGAGAAGCAGGGUCAGCCCGGCGGCCAUGGCUCCCAGACCCUCCGGUCACUGGCCCUCCUUCCCUGGACCUGCUGGGUUCCACUGACCGAGCCUACGGGAAUCCCUCAGGGUGUGAGCUUGACUCUAAUCUUGUCCUGAGAAGCCUGCCUCAUAGGGAUGAAAUAUAAUUCAUAUUUUAUGGUAAGGCGAGAAAACCUUAGAUACAAAAUUUUUCUCUGCCCAUUUGGGCCUCAUCCCCCAUUUAGUGUGUGCUGUGCACCUGCACUGACCAGCCCUCCUAACUUAGAGAGGGCCUUCCUUCUUCAUCUCAUCAAGGGUCACAGCUCCUUAUGGGGUGACCUUCGUUCUUCAACUUGUAAGGGACCGUGAUGGCCCACCACUCACUGCUUGUACAUGCAGGUCUGGAUUGUGUAAACUGUCAGUGAUACAUUUGAUGUGUGACCCUUUGUCUCAGAAACAAAAGAGCAUCUCCCAGGUUGGCUUGAAUAAAAUUUUCCAUUUUUUCCUUAGAUCGACUGUUGGUUAAUUUUACUGUCAACAAUAGAAAGACUUACUUUAAAAAAAAAAAAAAAGCCCUUUUGUGAACAUUUCUGUUAAUCUCCAUGGGUGCAGUGGGGGCAGGUGCUGUGACCCCGCGAGGCCCAGGGAGGGUCGGGGACUUGCUGAGGUCCCCCAGCAGAGCUGCGGUCGAUUCUCACAGAUCUGACGGAGGAUGCAACACCGGAAGAAGAGCCAGGGCUGCUCCGUCUCGCCCUUUCCUGCCCCGCCGGCCGCAGGGUAGUGAUUGGUUGCCCAUGGCUGCAGGUUCCUUCGAGCCGGGCCAGGAAGUGAGCAGCAGCCAGGUCCCUGAGGCCGGCCGCAGGCUAGGAGCCAGCAGAGGGCCGUAGAAAGCAGCCGUGGUGGAAGUGACGUCUGGGCCCCUGGCGUGGGGCUCAGAGCCACGCCUGGCCUGGUUCCCCCACCAUGUCAGCCCUAAACACUGCCUUCACUUCAGAAGGUCAAGGGGGUGGGCUGUGGCCAUGACGUUGCAGACAGCGUUGGGAACACGACUUUGAUGGAUGGUACAGUGAGUUUUGGAAAGAGGAAGAAAAGCAGUUUCCAAGCUUUGAGAAAAAGGAACUGUUUGAAAGAUUUGGUGUAAGAAGCUGUCAAAUAUGGUUUUCACUCUGAUGCGAGCAGAGAGUCCGUGCCCCGAGUCACACUGACGGUUGUCCACACCUGAGGUGUGACCGUGACGAGUGCAUGGCAGCAAAAAGGACUUGCUCCUCCUCCUCGUGCCAUCCGAGGAAGCGCUGGCCAUGUGGGCAGAGGUUCGCGUCGGGUGACCACACGUCAGGAGGCGGCGCUACCACCCUCAGAGCCACUCUGCACUCCCCUUGGAGAAAACAGGUACUCAGCUAAGACACCAGCGCCAGCUGCACCUGGCCAGGAGUCUAGUUUCCUUGUGGGAAGUCUCGUGGAUUUGACUUGGCUGCUGCACCCCCAGGCAGGGACAUGGCUGCAGAGGACACGGCCUCGACCCGGCUGGGGGCCGGGAGGCAGCACCUCCGUCCACUGAAGAGGAGGGGCUUGGUGCUGCUGAGACUCACGGCCAUCGUCUUUGCUGUGCUUCUCUUUUGUGAAUUUCUAAUCUAUUACCUAGUGAUCUUCCGGUGCAGUUGGCCUGCAGUGAAAACUCCCGCGGAUGCCGGUGGACUCGGGACCCCUGAGCCUGUGCUCAGGGCCAUGUUCUUGGCUGACACCCACCUGCUUGGGGCUGUGAGAGGCCACUGGCUGGACAAAUUACGGAGGGAGUGGCAGAUGGAGCGAGCCUUCCAGACGGCACUGUGGCUGCUGCAGCCCGAAGUCGUCUUCAUCCUGGGAGACGUCUUUGACGAAGGGAAGUGGAGCUCCUCCCAGGCCUGGGCGGACGACGUGGGGCGCUUCUGGAAGAUCUUCCGACACCCGCCCCAUGUGCAGUUGAGGGCCGUGGCCGGUAACCAUGACAUCGGCUUCCACUACCAGAUGAACACAUACAAAAUAAAGCGAUUUGAGAAAGUUUUCAACCCUGAAAGGCUGUUUUCUUGGAAAGGAAUUAACUUCUGUGUCCCAGGGACACAGUUGCCAGCGGACAGCACAGGUGGCCCAUGGCUGAUCUCCUGCCCUUGCCUCAGUUUCGUGAUGAUUAACAGCGUCGCACUGGAAGGGGACAGCUGUGAUAUCUGCUCUGGAGCAGAGGCUGAGCUCCUGGAAAUCUCUCACCGGCUGAACUGCUCCCGGGAGCAGGAGCAUCGCCCCCAAGAGUGUGGAGACAGGCAGCGGCUGCCGGCCUCGGCCCCCAUCCUCCUGCAGCACUUCCCGCUUUACCGGAGAAAUGACGCCAACUGCUCCGGAAAGGACGCGGCACCCCCCGACGAGAAGUACACCCCCUUCAAGGAGCGCUACGACGCGCUCUCCCAGGAGGCCUCGAGGAAGCUGCUGUGGUGGCUCCGGCCGCGCCUGGUCCUCAGUGGCCACACGCACAGCGCCUGCGAGGUCCUGCACGGGGCCGGCGUCCUGGAGGUCAGCGUGCCAUCUUUCAGUUGGAGGAACAGAAACAACCCCAGUUUCAUCAUGGGCAGCGUCACGCCCACAGAGUACGCCCUUGCCAAGUGCUACCUGCCCUGCGAGGACACGGUUCUGACCACGUACUGCACGGCGGCCGGGGGCCUUGUGCUCCUCACGUUAGUCCACGCUGGGCUUGUAGCCUCACCUUUUCAUUUCGGUUGGAACAUGCUCAGAAAAUUUAAGACCACGUGAGUAGCAGGAGACGUUCUGCACUUCGUAGUUAAGUCCCGAAGCCAACGAAACUGAACUUCGGGCAGUGCUUACGGAGGGCGAGACCAAAGUGGGCCAUGGGCACAGCUCGUAGGAUCUGGGUUGCUGGUGCAGAGUCCUGCAGGAUCAAUAGUUGAUUGUGCUGUUCUCACGCUGUGAAAAUGGGACUUGUCUCUACAGCUGGUCUGUCUGCUCGUUGUAUCAAAUAUAUGUGUAAUCAAAGAUUGUGUCUGUACAGUGUGUAAAAGCUAUGAAUGUCAUCACUUGCAUGCACUAGACAGCCUCCCUUCCCCAAGACGGAGGGUCAGCUGUUCACAAAUGCUGGGUUUGCUUCUGUCCUCCUAUGAGUAGUUCUCAAGUUCUUAUAUUUUAUAAAGCUGUAUACUUAAAAUAAAAUACAGAUGCUACAAGCAGGAAUACAUUGUUCUCAAGGCUUUUGUAUUUCUGUGCUAAAUUAAUGGAAUCAGAUUUUUAUUAAUUAAUUAAUUUUUUUGGGCUGCGCCACGCGGCAUGCAGAAUCUUAGUUCCCUGACCAGGGAUCAAAACUGUGCCCCCUGCAGUGGAAGCACAGAGUCUUGACCACUGUACCGCCAGGGAAGUCCCUGGAAUCAGAUUUUUAGAUGAGCGUAAUUUUCUCUCCAGCAGACCAAGUUGUUAAAUUUGAAUUGAAUGCCUGUCAGUGACCAAAAGAAACUUGGAAAAUGGACCAGGAAGAGGCUUUUUGUAUUUAAAAAUAAAUAUGCUGUGGUAAUUUUAAACCGGAUAAAAUGUAUUCUUUUUUGUGUUUUUUUUCCUGAGAGUCUGGCUCUUCAAUCAGACUUUUAAAUAGGAAGUUUAGUUACAGUGGAAUUGUUGAAUAAUAAUGCAUGUGAAAAUAUACAAUUUCAUUUUUUUGGGUGUAUGUGUGGGGCUGUAGCUCUUCAGAUUUUCAUGUUUUACUUUGAAAAUGCAAUGGAAACUGAAAAUCAUUUCCACUUUAUAUGUCUCAGUUCAACUGAGAGUUUUAUGAAAUAAUCAAGGAUGACAGGAAGAGGAAUUCGAUGAUAAUGAAAUUUAAAAAAAUGUGAUGGUGCAUUGUCUGUAAAGUUGUCAUCCUUUAUUUCAUGGAAGAGCAGUAUUUAAAUGUGGAUGAGUUUACAAAGGAUUAUAAGAUGCUGCUUUAUAGAGUAAACUUAAAAAUAUUAAAGACUAAAAGACGAAAUGGAAGUUAAUGCAGUAACGCAGGCUAGGCUGCCCCAUCUCUGCAUUUGUGUCGUUGAAAUAUAAGCUUGGACAAUUUAAAAGAUUGUCUUUGACCUGAGAAAACCGCCCUCAAGGCCAUGGAUAGAUGAGAAUGGCUUUCUAGGUCUUGAGCUGGAUGUAACUCAUGAGGCUGCAUUUGCAAGUCUUUCAAGGUUGAGAAACAGCCAUGUAUUUUGACUUUGUAUUUCAGAUAAAGGCUUUGUAAUGUUUCUUCUUCAAAAGGCAAAUCACAUUCUAUCCUUUGAUUCUCCAAGGCCAGGCACAAGCCUGGAACCCUUGUCUUUUUCUCACUCUUUGUUUACGAUGAGACCUGUGGUCAAGUAAGUGGUUCAAAAACUUUGACUAAGGGAAUGGGUGACCUUGGAAAAGUCUUUAAAUUGCCAGAUAAUUGAGAAACAUGUUUUCUGGAGAGAAAAAGACAUCCUUGGUUCCCCGAAAGAAGCUUGUGAUGUGGGUGUGGCAUUUUGUGAAAUGUGGAUGAUUAACGUGUAUCAUUUAUAUUUAUAGAAAUUUUUAUAUAUAUAUUUAUCAAGGAGUAUUGUUAAAAAGUACCAACCUGAUAAAAUACCCUAAGCUCUCUAUACACCAUUCACUCCCUUUCUCAGAGCAAGCGGCAGUAUGAUGACAGCUGUUCAGCACAACAGAAACACGUUUCUUUUACAGGGACAGCCAUAGUCAAGGCACGGAGAUCUACAGGGAUUUUCCUUGAGUAGUUAUACAAAAUAAUAUUACAUUUCGUGGUCUGUACAGUGUAAUAAACCAGCAGUAAAACAACAAAAAGAACCUAUGAAAGGAGGCCGUUGCCUGAGCAGCGUCACUUUGACUUCAACAGUGGUUUAUGUUUGGUGCCGGGUGAACAGCUUCUACUCAAGUCAGAUGAAGCGUCUCACUGACUGGUGAGCCAGCCCCCAGUCGCCUGCACCUGGUGAACCGUCCUGCAGGGAGGGCUGCCAGCUCAUCCUGAGACUUUUCCCAGGAAAAAUGCUGACCAGACAGGGUUUGCCAGACGGGACCUUCCCGGCUUCAGCACUGAAAUUCCCGUGUCCCAGGAGCCUCACAGCCUCCCGGGACGGCUGGUCACCCGAUGAAGUCACCAUGCUGUGGCCAAAGUCAUCGCUGGGGACAGAGGCCUCAACACGGUGGUCGGCAGCGGGCGGCUCGGGACAGAGGUCACUGCUGCCCCAUCCCUGCGGGCCUGGCCGGAGUGACUCAGACAGCGACUUCCCGGUCAGUCACUGUGCGGGGUCAGCAGGCAGGUCCAGGCGGACCGACCGACACGGGGCCCCGGGAGGCAGAGCUUCCCUGCAAACCCCGCAUGCACGUCAAGCUGCCCUUCCUCCUUCUGCUCAGCGUGGACCAAGCUGAACUCUGAAAAUUUUACAGAUGGGACCCUAAGGACAUUUUAAUACUCUAGAAGCUAAGGGUGGGGCAGGAGUCAAGAAGAUUGAUCUAAAUUAACUGAGUUUCCUAGAUUCGUCAGAACCGUAGGAAUUACAGUUACAGGGCUAUGGAAAGAACAAUUCUUUCCCUUAAUCGCAAGAUACUUAUUUUGGAAUCUUACCGUCUUCAGGAACAGUAUAAUUUGCGUACUCUGGGAAAUAGUCUUCAAUCUUUGAUUUCCCUGCCAACACUUUUUCUGCCAGCAUAUCCUGUUUGUUCAAGAACAAGAUGAUGGAAAUGGUCCGUAACCACCUGGAAAGGAGCAGGAAACACACAGGUGUGGGCCCACUGCCUGAGCAGGCACCUCAGUCGCAGGCAUUAUCCAUGGAGAGGACAACGUGCUGCCCUCCGGACGAGGCGCCGGGCUUGGGAUUAUUUGAUGCCCCGGAACCUCAGCCCCCACUCCAUCUGCACACAAGACUCUCUCAUGAGGAUAAACCCUCAGGAGAAGGAUUCAGCUCCACAGGGCUGUACUGGCGCCAAAGCCAAGGUUCACGUCAGGAAUAAAUACGCUGGGA
This is a non-coding RNA of Delphinapterus leucas (beluga whale), 7062 nucleotides long. Lineage: Eukaryota; Metazoa; Chordata; Mammalia; Artiodactyla; Monodontidae. The record is from RefSeq and is a predicted model, not a curated record.